UAUGCCAACAUAUUGCCCUC
RNAcentral lists this microRNA (20 nucleotides) under Anolis carolinensis (green anole). Its description in RNAcentral is "aca-miR-31-3p". Its record names the gene aca-miR-31-3p. The record is from miRBase by way of RNAcentral. Lineage: Eukaryota; Metazoa; Chordata; Lepidosauria; Squamata; Anolidae.